ACCCGCUGAACUUAAGCAUAUCAAUAAGCGGAGGAAAAGAAACCAACAGGGAUUGCCUCAGUAACGGCGAGUGAAGCGGCAACAGCUCAAAUUUGAAAUCUGGCUCUUUCAGGGUCCGAGUUGUAAUUUGUAGAAGAUGUUUCGGGUGUGGCUCCGGUCUAAGUUCCUUGGAACAGGACGUCGUAGAGGGUGAGAAUCCCGUAUGUGACUGGCUGCCUCCGCCCAUGUGAAACUCUUUCGACGAGUCGAGUUGUUUGGGAAUGCAGCUCAAAAUGGGUGGUAAAUUUCAUCUAAAGCUAAAUAUUGGCCAGAGACCGAUAGCGCACAAGUAGAGUGAUCGAUAGAUGAAAAGCACUUUGGAAAGAGAGUUAAACAGUACGUGAAAUUGUUGAAAGGGAAGCGCUUGCAAUCAGACUUGCGCGCGGCCGAUCAUCCGGGGUUCUCCCCGGUGCACUCGGUCGCGUUCAGGCCAGCAUCGGUUUGGGUGGUGGGAUAAAGGCCUUGGGAAUGUAGCUUCUUUCGGGGAGUGUUAUAGCCCUCGGUGCAAUGCCGCCUAUCCGGACCGAGGACCGCGCUUCGGCUAGGAUGCUGGCGUAAUGGUUGUAAGCGACCCGUCUUGAAACACGG
Molecule: ribosomal RNA, 627 nt
Filed under: uncultured fungus
Lineage: Eukaryota; Fungi
Description: eukaryotic LSU rRNA
Rfam family: Eukaryotic large subunit ribosomal RNA
Source: RNAcentral